Molecule: ribosomal RNA, 431 nt
Filed under: uncultured bacterium
Lineage: Bacteria
Description: partial 16S ribosomal RNA
Rfam family: Bacterial small subunit ribosomal RNA
Source: RNAcentral
AACGAACGCUGGCGGCAGGCUUAACACAUGCAAGUCGAGCGCCCCGCAAGGGGAGCGGCAGACGGGUGAGUAACGCGUGGGAACGUACCUUUUGGUUCGGAACAACUCCGGGAAACUGGAGCUAAUACCGGAUAAGCCCUAACGGGGAAAGAUUUAUCGCCGAAAGAUCGGCCCGCGUCUGAUUAGCUAGUUGGUGAGGUAACGGUUCACCAAGGCGACGAUCAGUAGCUGGUCUGAGAGGAUGAUCAGCCACACUGGGACUGAGACACGGCCCAGACUCCUACGGGAGGCAGCAGUGGGGAAUAUUGGACAAUGGGCGCAAGCCUGAUCCAGCCAUGCCGCGUGAGUGAUGAAGGCCUUAGGGUUGUAAAGCUCUUUUGUCCGGGAAGAUAAUGACUGUACCGGAAGAAUAAGCCCCGGCUAACUUCGUG